CCGGGUCAGCGUCCGUGGGCCUGUGCCCACCCGGACAUGCGUCGCUGGUAACGGCGGGGUGUGAUGCUCCGGCGAAAAGCCGUGGCUAGCAGGCCUUCCACGAGGAGAUCCUGUCGUUGGCUGUCGAUCCGACGUUGGGG
This is a non-coding RNA of Streptomyces decoyicus, 140 nucleotides long. The record is from Rfam. NCBI's taxonomy places the organism in Bacteria, Bacillati, Actinomycetota, Actinomycetes, Kitasatosporales, Streptomycetaceae.